AUUGAACGCUGGCGGCAGGCUUCACACAUGCAAGUCGAGCGGGGUGAUGGUGCUUGCACUAUCACUUAGCGGCGGACGGGUGAGUAAUGCGUCGGAACGUGCCGAGUAGUGGGGGAUAACGCAGCGAAAGUUGUGCUAAUACCGCAUACGUACUGAGGUAGAAAGUGGGGGACCUUCGGGCCUCACGCUAUUCGAGCGGCCGACGUCUGAUUAGCUAGUAGGUGAGGUAAAGGCUCACCUAGGCGACGAUCAGUAGCGGGACUGAGAGGCUGGUCCGCCACACUGGGUGUGAGACACGGCCCAGACUCCUACGGGAGGCAGCAGUGGGGAAUUUUGGGCAAUGGGCGAAAGCCUGAUCCAGCCAUGCCGCGUGUCUGAAGAAGGCCUUCGGGUUGUAAAGGACUUUUGUCAGGGAGGAAAUCCCUAGUGCUAAUAACACUGGGGGAUGACAGUACCUGAAGAAUAAGCACCGGCUAACUACGUGCCAGCAGCCGCCGUAA
This 500-nucleotide ribosomal RNA is filed under the name uncultured bacterium. RNAcentral describes it as "partial 16S ribosomal RNA". It matches the Rfam family "Bacterial small subunit ribosomal RNA", at positions 30 to 523 of the family's 1533-position model. The record is from RNAcentral.